GUACUUGUACUGAUUGAGAUUUUAACACGAAGUGAGUGGCGAACGGGUGAGUAACACGUGGGUAACCUGCCCAGAAGUAGGGGAUAACACCUGGAAACAGAUGCUAAUACCGUAUAACAGAGAAAACCGCAUGGUUUUCUUUUAAAAGAUGGCUCUGCUAUCACUUCUGGAUGGACCCGCGGCGUAUUAGCUAGUUGGUGAGGUAAAGGCUCACCAAGGCAGUGAUACGUAGCCGACCUGAGAGGGUAAUCGGCCACAUUGGGACUGAGACACGGCCCAGACUCCUACGGGAGGCAGCAGUAGGGAAUCUUCCACAAUGGACGCAAGUCUGAUGGAGCAACGCCGCGUGAGUGAAGAAGGGUUUCGGCUCGUAAAGCUCUGUUGUUAAAGAAGAACGUGGGUAAGAGUAACUGUUUACCCAGUGACGGUAUUUAACCAGAAAGCCACGGCUAACUACGUGCCAGCAGCCGCGGUAAUACGUAGGUGGCAAGCGUUAUCCGGAUUUAUUGGGCGUAAAGCGAGCGCAGGCGGUCUUUUAAGUCUAAUGUGAAAGCCUUCGGCUCAACCGAAGAAGUGCAUUGGAAACUGGGAGACUUGAGUGCAGAAGAGGACAGUGGAACUCCAUGUGUAGCGGUGAAAUGCGUAGAUAUAUGGAAGAACACCAGUGGCGAAGGCGGCUGUCUGGUCUGCAACUGACGCUGAGGCUCGAAAGCAUGGGUAGCGAACAGGAUUAGAUACCCUGGUAGUCCAUGCCGUAAACGAUGAUUACUAAGUGUUGGAGGGUUUCCGCCCUUCAGUGCUGCAGCUAACGCAUUAAGUAAUCCGCCUGGGGAGUACGACCGCAAGGUUGAAACUCAAAAGAAUUGACGGGGGCCCGCACAAGCGGUGGAGCAUGUGGUUUAAUUCGAAGCUACGCGAAGAACCUUACCAGGUCUUGACAUCUUCUGACAGUCUAAGAGAUUAGAGGUUCCCUUCGGGGACAGAAUGACAGGUGGUGCAUGGUUGUCGUCAGCUCGUGUCGUGAGAUGUUGGGUUAAGUCCCGCAACGAGCGCAACCCUUAUUACUAGUUGCCAGCAUUAAGUUGGGCACUCUAGUGAGACUGCCGGUGACAAACCGGAGGAAGGUGGGGACGACGUCAAAUCAUCAUGCCCCUUAUGACCUGGGCUACACACGUGCUACAAUGGAUGGUACAACGAGUCGCGAGACCGCGAGGUUAAGCUAAUCUCUUAAAACCAUUCUCAGUUCGGACUGUAGGCUGCAACUCGCCUACACGAAGUCGGAAUCGCUAGUAAUCGCGGAUCAGCAUGCCGCGGUGAAUACGUUCCCGGGCCUUGUACACACCGCCCGUCACACCAUGAGAGUUUGUAACACCCAAAGCCG
RNAcentral lists this ribosomal RNA (1381 nucleotides) under Pediococcus pentosaceus. RNAcentral's name for it is "bacterial SSU rRNA". It matches the Rfam family "Bacterial small subunit ribosomal RNA", at positions 64 to 1429 of the family's 1533-position model. The record is from RNAcentral. Lineage: Bacteria; Bacillati; Bacillota; Bacilli; Lactobacillales; Lactobacillaceae.